UUGCUCCUCUGACGUUAGCGGCGGACGGGUGAGUAACACGUGGAUAACCUACCUAUAAGACUGGGAUAACUUCGGGAAACCGGAGCUAAUACCGGAUAAUAUAUUGAACCGCAUGGUUCAAUAGUGAAAGACGGUUUUGCUGUCACUUAUAGAUGGAUCCGCGCCGCAUUAGCUAGUUGGUAAGGUAACGGCUUACCAAGGCAACGAUGCGUAGCCGACCUGAGAGGGUGAUCGGCCACACUGGAACUGAGACACGGUCCAGACUCCUACGGGAGGCAGCAGUAGGGAAUCUUCCGCAAUGGGCGAAAGCCUGACGGAGCAACGCCGCGUGAGUGAUGAAGGUCUUCGGAUCGUAAAACUCUGUUAUUAGGGAAGAACAAAUGUGUAAGUAACUAUGCACGUCUUGACGGUACCUAAUCAGAAAGCCACGGCUAACUACGUGCCAGCAGCCGCGGUAAUACGUAGGUGGCAAGCGUUAUCCGGAAUUAUUGGGCGUAAAGCGCGCGUAGGCGGUUUUUUAAGUCUGAUGUGAAAGCCCACGGCUCAACCGUGGGGGGUCAUUGGAAACUGGAAAACUUGAGUGCAGAAGAGGAAAGUGGAAUUCCAUGUGUAGCGGUGAAAUGCGCAGAGAUAUGGAGGAACACCAGUGGCGAAGGCGACUUUCUGGUCUGUAACUGACGCU
Molecule: ribosomal RNA, 682 nt
Filed under: uncultured Staphylococcus sp.
Lineage: Bacteria; Bacillati; Bacillota; Bacilli; Caryophanales; Staphylococcaceae
Description: bacterial SSU rRNA
Rfam family: Bacterial small subunit ribosomal RNA
Source: RNAcentral